Molecule: long non-coding RNA, 327 nt
Filed under: Brassica napus (rape)
Lineage: Eukaryota; Viridiplantae; Streptophyta; Magnoliopsida; Brassicales; Brassicaceae
Description: long non-coding RNA (BNAP_LNC005324)
Source: RNAcentral
UUAACAUAUAUUCUUCUAACCUAAUAUGUAAUCAUCUAAAUAUCUGAUUUAAAAUAUUUUAUUCAUUGGAGGCUUUUUAAUUUUAAUGAUAUAAGAGACAUUACUAAUGAGGUUGUUUUUUUUUUCAUUUUAGUUAAUUUUCAUUUGUUUUAAUUUUUAUAUACUUUGUUGUGACAUUUAAAAAAAACAAUUAUUUCAGUUUUAUAUUGAAUUUAGUUCACAUAGUUUAUGUUUACAUAAUUUAUGUUUUAAAACAUAAUUUCUCUUAGAAAAUUAAAUUAAGAAGAAUCUAAUUAAACCGAUCCAAAAAAACAAACUGAACCAAAU